AACGAACGCUGGCGGCAUGCCUAACACAUGCAAGUCGAACGAGACCUUCGGGUCUAGUGGCGCACGGGUGCGUAACGCGUGGGAACCUGCCUUUAGGUUCGGAAUAACUCAGAGAAAUUUGAGCUAAUACCGGAUAAUGUCUUCGGACCAAAGAUUUAUCGCCUUUAGAUGGGCCCACGUAAGAUUAGCUAGUUGGUGAGGUAACGGCUCACCAAGCCGACGAUCGAUAGCUGGUCUGAGAGGAUGAUCAGCCACACUGGGACUGAGAUACGGCCCAGACUCCUACGGGAGGCAGCAGUGGGGAAUAUUGGACAAUGGGGGGCAACCCCUGAUCCAGCAAUGCCGCGUGAGUGAUGAAGGCCUUCGGGUUGUAAAGCUCUUUGGUCGGGGGACGAGUGAUGACGGUACCCGCAGAAUAAGCCCCCGGGCUAACUUCGUGCCAGCAGCCGCGGUAAU
Molecule: ribosomal RNA, 456 nt
Filed under: uncultured bacterium
Lineage: Bacteria
Description: bacterial SSU rRNA
Rfam family: Bacterial small subunit ribosomal RNA
Source: RNAcentral